RNAcentral lists this ribosomal RNA (884 nucleotides) under Microcyclospora malicola. RNAcentral's name for it is "LSU rRNA". It matches the Rfam family "Eukaryotic large subunit ribosomal RNA", at positions 43 to 961 of the family's 3401-position model. The record is from RNAcentral. Lineage: Eukaryota; Fungi; Ascomycota; Dothideomycetes; Capnodiales.
UCAAUAAGCGGAGGAAAAGAAACCAACAGGGAUUGCCUCAGUAACGGCGAGUGAAGCGGCAACAGCUCAAAUUUGAAAUCUGGCGUCCGCCCGAGUUGUAAUUUGCAGAGGAUGCUUCGGGGCCGCGGCCGAUCUAAGUCCUUUGGAACAGGGCGUCAUAGAGGGUGAGAAUCCCGUAUGUGACCGGCUGGCACCCCACACGUAGCUCCUUCGACGAGUCGAGUUGUUUGGGAAUGCAGCUCUAAAUGGGAGGUAAAUUUCUUCUAAAGCUAAAUACCGGCCAGAGACCGAUAGCGCACAAGUAGAGUGAUCGAAAGAUGAAAAGCACUUUGGAAAGAGAGUCAAACAGCACGUGAAAUUGUUGAAAGGGAAGCGCAUGCAACCAGACUUGUCGGCGGUGUUCCCCCGGUCUUCUGACCGGGUCACUCGCCGCCGGCAGGCCAGCAUCGUUUGCGACCGCCGGAGAAAGGCGCGGGGAAUGUGGCUCCUCGGAGUGUUAUAGCCCCGCGCACAAUACGGUGCGUCGCGAGCGAGGUCCGCGCUUCGGCUAGGAUGCUGGCGUAAUGGUCGUAUGCGGCCCGUCUUGAAACACGGACCAAGGAGUCUACCAUCUAUGCGAGUGUUCGGGUGUCAAACCCCUACGCGCAAUGAAAGUGAACGGAGGUGGGAACGCAAGUGCACCAUCGACCGAUCCUGAUGUCUUCGGAUGGAUUUGAGUAAGAGCAUAGCUGGUGGGACCCGAAAGAUGGUGAUCUUUACUUGAAUAGGGUGAAGCCAGAGGAAACUCUGGUGGAGGCUCGCAGCGGUUCUGACGUGCAAAUCGAUCGUCAAAUUUGGGUAAAGGGGCGAAAGACUAAUCGAACCAUCUAGUAGCUGGUUCCUGC